RNAcentral lists this ribosomal RNA (507 nucleotides) under uncultured bacterium. Its description in RNAcentral is "bacterial SSU rRNA". It matches the Rfam family "Bacterial small subunit ribosomal RNA", at positions 33 to 518 of the family's 1533-position model. The record is from RNAcentral.
GACGCUGGCGGCGUGCCUAAUACAUGCAAGUCGAGCGGACCGACGGGAGCUUGCUCCCUUAGGUCAGCGGCGGACGGGUGAGUAACACGUGGGUAACCUGCCUGUAAGACUGGGAUAACUCCGGGAAACCGGGGCUAAUACCGGAUGCUUGAUUGAACCGCAUGGUUCAAUUAUAAAAGGUGGCUUUUAGCUACCACUUACAGAUGGACCCGCGGCGCAUUAGCUAGUUGGUGAGGUAACGGCUCACCAAGGCGACGAUGCGUAGCCGACCUGAGAGGGUGAUCGGCCACACUGGGACUGAGACACGGCCCAGACUCCUACGGGAGGCAGCAGUAGGGAAUCUUCCGCAAUGGACGAAAGUCUGACGGAGCAAACCGCCGCGUGAGUGAUGAAGGUUUUCGGAUCGUAAAACUCUGUUGUUAGGGAAGAACAAGUACCGUUCGAAUAGGGCGGUACCUUGACGGUACCUAACCAGAAAGCCACGGCUAACUACGUGCCAGCAGCCGC